UCACCACACCGAAACAUCAUCAUGACCGACGAGAACAGGACGUUCUGGUCCAUCUCCUUUAACAGCACAGCCAACAUUGCAGAACUUUCGCCCAAUGCAUAAACAAGUACAUUCGAAUCGGAUUUGUGACGACAAAAGGACUUACCCACUGCUACGGUGCAGCUUAUUGUGCUGAAGAUAGGUUGGUGUCACCAUAGCGCUAGCAUCUGGGAGGCGCCGGUCAGAUCUCCGUUGGACACCGGCUAUCCUCACUGAGAUUGAGAGACCACGACCUAUCUGGAGCCCCAACAUACCCACGCGAGUACAGCGCUGGAAGUGGUGCUUCGUCGUUAAGCACCAGAGAGCUCUGUCAUAAUCUGCUGCGCCAUAGUGAAAAGUAACUUAUCCUGCUUAUAAUAUAUCGGCACGGACCGCACAGAAAACACAAUUCUAUUUAUGUGCAACUGUUACUUUCGUGACUACUGGAGUAGCCACGUGACCGUUGCUCAACCACUGUCUAGCAAUAGCCGCUGUUUUCAGAACCAUUACUUAGCAAAGGGUAUUUCUUUUUUUCGCGGUCGUCGCCUAGCAACGGGUCUACAUACCACAAUA
Cryptotermes secundus is the source of this 591-nucleotide long non-coding RNA. RefSeq lists it as uncharacterized. NCBI's taxonomy places the organism in Eukaryota, Metazoa, Arthropoda, Insecta, Blattodea, Kalotermitidae. The transcript is spliced from 4 exons. The record is from RefSeq and is a predicted model, not a curated record.